GGAGGAUGGGGGAGGCGUGUGGAACAGAACAGCUGUCCACCGGCGUUGGAGGCUCGGCCUCUCAUUUUGUUCGCGUAUCUGUCUCAGGCGGUGUUCCCGAAAGCAGACCCUGAGAUGAGAACGCAGGUAGAAGUGACUUAUUAGGGGGAGAUUCUUCAGCGAAUGUCUCCUCCUGGAAACACUGGGAGGAGAGUGGGGAAGCGGGGCGACGCAGUGAGCAGGCAACACCGAGCCCGAGGGCAAGUCCGGCUCCAUCCCGCCGGGGACAGCGCGUGUUCCACUACGGAGUGUCUCCGUCAGGGACAAAGCUGUCCUUGGUCAAGGUGGCCCCAAGAGGAUGCCCUGCACUCGGCAAAGUAGGCUUGGCAACCCGAGACCCGUCUUCAGGUGCCGGAGGUGCUGGGGCACGCAGACAGGCAGCCUUAUCCAACAGUACCAAAAAUCGGGAAAGAAGAACAAAACAAAGAACGGAGAAAAGGCUGGAUAGCUUUGCGGCAACAGAGCUCAGCCCACGCCCCCCCUCUCACCGCAGCCCACGUAUGGGACGGGCCUGCAGAAUACGUAAAAAGGAAAAAUCACCCUCUCUGUAUCAGACGCCUCACGCGCUGCCUCGUUCUCUCAAGGGGCCACCACCAUGCCCAGCCUCUGCCAUGAGGGCUUCCGGGAGGCGACUACGUUCUACCCACCUGAGGCCUCCGCGUGGGUCUCCGGUUGCUCCCAUGACUUCAAGACUCAGAGGACCUAUCAUGCUGGCUAUUUCCUGGGAUCUGGCUUCCCCAGUGGCUCCCGAAGGACUCGGGCGAUAUAACCCAGAAGCGCAGGGAACUUAACUCCCUGUGUAGAGAACUUGACCAGUGAAGUUCUCUCCAUUCCACCAUAAUGGACUCUUUCAAGGCCUGGGAUUUCCGAAAAAUCUGUUCAGAGACAUCCCGCGCAGCAAGAUGACCAGCCUCUCGAGGUAGGGCUGGGACUGUACCUUCGGAUAAAGCAGUAGUGUUUAAGCCUGCCUCAGGCCAUCUAUUCAAGGGAGUCCAGGCUAUCCGGAACCAGACGGGGAUUCUUCCUCCCCGCCCCCCCCUUCUCAUAACCUUUUAAAAAGUCAAUUUCAAAAGUGUGGUGGCCUACUCUCCUCACCGCCAAAGACUGCCCAGAGGAGCAGAGGGUUCACUGGCAGAGGCUGGGAGGCGGACAGCCUACUUGGGUAAAGGGGCUCCUAGCAGCCACUAUGCUUCUGCACAUGCUCGGCAGAAGGUGCCCACCUGCUAGACAGCCCAGAGCCACGAAAUGGGCUCGGAGCUGGCAGCUGAACACGACGGAGCCGAGGGGAGAACAGCGGCCGUGAAAGCCACGCGGGCUUGCCCCCGUGGGGUUCCGGCUUGCCCCUGCUCGCUAGGCUGAGGGCUGGCUGGAGGCCCCUGAGAUCUUCCCAUCUGGUGGGGGAUGGGAAGCACCUCUCCCAGUGAGAACUUUGAGCUGGACUGUGAUUGAAUUCUUGGAUUAGACUAACAUUUUUAUUGGAUUAGGCUGGCCUUUGCUGGAGGGGACUGAAUUCAGUCUUCCUGCUGCCAAGUGGGAAUGAGACCUCAUUAAAGAAAGUACAUGCAAUUAUUAUUAUUUUUUAAGUGCAUUUGUACUCUCCCAGGCCCCACUUUAAUUUGGCCAGGAGCCCUGUCCUUGAGUGUGAGGCCCUAAGGAGAGUCAACCAGACUCCGGC
RNAcentral lists this long non-coding RNA (1714 nucleotides) under Lynx canadensis (Canada lynx). Its description in RNAcentral is "lncRNA (ENSLCNG00005018566.1)". Lineage: Eukaryota; Metazoa; Chordata; Mammalia; Carnivora; Felidae. The record is from RNAcentral.